This 353-nucleotide ribosomal RNA is filed under the name uncultured bacterium. RNAcentral's name for it is "bacterial SSU rRNA". It matches the Rfam family "Bacterial small subunit ribosomal RNA", at positions 28 to 371 of the family's 1533-position model. The record is from RNAcentral.
GACGAACGCUGGCGGCGUGCUUAACACAUGCAAGUCGAGCGGUAAGGCCCUUUCGGGGUACGACGAGCGGCGAACGGGUGAGUAACACGUGGGUGACCUGCCCUCCAGCUCUGGGAGUAAGCCGUGGGAAACGUGGGUCGUAAUACUGGAUAUGACUCCACGGUGCAUGUCGGUGGGGUGGAAAGCCUUGUGCGGCUGAGGAUGGGCCCGCGGCCUAUCAGCUUGUUGGUGGGGUGANGGCCUACCAAGGCGACGACGGGUAGCCGGCCGUGAGAGGGCGACCGGCCACACUGGGACGUGAGACACGGCCCACGACUCCUACGGGAGGGCAGCAGUGGGGAAGUCUUGCGCAA